Molecule: long non-coding RNA, 5342 nt
Organism: Bos taurus (domestic cattle)
Lineage: Eukaryota; Metazoa; Chordata; Mammalia; Artiodactyla; Bovidae
Source: Ensembl
AUUCAGCACAGACCGAAGAAAGACUAAGCAGUUGGUCCUUUUUAUUGCAGUUGAAAUCUGGCCCGAUCUGGCAACCCUUUUUAGAAUCAAACACUGAAUAAAGUUCCCAAGACAUGUGGGGAGGUGAGACAGUUUCUGUUUGUAGCACAGGGGUGUUGGGUGUGGGGGUGUCUCCUGCGUGGGCUAGACACAUGGGUCUCCAGGGGAGCUAGCAGGCUACAGGCUUACCUCACUCUUGGUUGAUGAUGGUGAAACUGAGAAUGAGGAAUGCCACAGGACUUCAUUUUUCAUUAAAUUAGGAGCACUCUAAGGUCAAAUACAGCUGUCAGAAACCCAGUUCCAACCGGCUUAAGUAAAAAAGUGAAUCUGUGGGUUCUUGGGGCUAUGAAGUGCCUGAUUCUAGCUUCAGGCAUGGCUUGAUCUAGGGGUCUUAGAUUGGAUACCUUAGAGACAGAGCUUGCAAUGGGGAUUCUUGUGCAAUGAAUUAUUGAGAAAAUGCUCUCAGGAAGAGUUGCAAGGGAAUGAAUCUGUAAGUAGGAUAGAGUGAAAGAAACAGCCAGCGAAGCCUGCUGUUUCAGCUGGAAUCUAGCUUCAGCCUGACCCCACAAGGAGCUCUGGAGUGUAGAUAACAUUACAGAGCUGUCUCACCCCACAAGGAGCUCUGGAGUGGAGAUAACAUUACAGAGCUGUCUCACCCCACAAGGAGCUCUGGAGUGGAGAUAACAUUACAGAGCUGUCUCACCCCACAAGGAGCUCUGGAGUGGAGAUAACAUUACAGAGCCGUCUCAGCCCACAAGGAGCUCUGGAGUGGAGAUAACAUUACAGAGCCGUCUCAGCCCACAAGGAGCUCUGGAGUGGAGAUCACAUUACAGAGCCGUCUCACCCCACAAGGAGCUCUGGAGUGGAGAUCACAUUACAGAGCCGUCUCACCCCACAAGGAGCUCUGGAGUGGAGAUCACAUUACAGAGCCGUCUCAGCCCACAAGGAGCUCUGGAGUGGAGAUCACAUUACAGAGCCGUCUCAGCCCACAAGGAGCUCUGGAGUGGAGAUCACAUUACAGAGCCGUCUCAGCCCACAAGGAGCUCUGGAGUGGAGAUCACAUCACAGAGCUGUCUCACCCCACAAGGAGCUCUGGAGUGGAGAUCACAUUACAGAGCUGUCUCAGCCCACAAGGAGCUCUGGAGUGGAGAUCACAUUACAGAGCCGUCUCAGCCCACAAGGAGCUCUGGAGUGGAGAUCACAUUACAGAGCCGUCUCAGCCCACAAGGAGCUCUGGAGUGGAGAUCACAUUACAGAGCCGUCUCAGCCCACAAGGAGCUCUGGAGUGGAGAUCACAUCACAGAGCUGUCUCACCCCACAAGGAGCUCUGGAGUGGAGAUCACAUCACAGAGCUGUCUCACCCCACAAGGAGCUCUGGAGUGGAGAUCACAUCACAGAGCUGUCUCACCCCACAAGGAGCUCUGGAGUGGAGAUCACAUCACAGAGCUGUCUCACUCUAAGGCAAGAAGCUUGGCCUUUGGUACUUUCGUAUUAGUCUGUCAUUGACUGUGUGCUGUCUCUGAAAUGGAGCACAUAACCUCCUGGGACUUUCUGGACAAAGUGACUUUCUUUGGCUAAAGGUAAUUCUCUGAAAAUUUCAACUGUGAGCUGUUAGCAAUCCUCAGUUACAGUCAGUUCUUACAGAUGGGUGCAGUCUGGUAGCGGGGAUCUGGGCAAGGUAUCAACCUUGUCUACAUCAAGGGGCUCAAGCAAUGACCUAGGGUUUCACCUCUCACCCUACUUCUGAGGUUUACUUCUUGGCUCCAUUCUCAAAUAGCAUGGGGACAAGGUGACCACCAAAGGCCCUGAGCUCUCCUUAUGUCUCCCAUGCAGCUUAUAUAGAAGCCUGAUCUCGCCUGGUGUUAAGUACUGAGUUUCCUGGAUUAGCCCCACAUGACUUCAUGCUCACCUUGCUGUUGGAGACGGUGGUAGUGUCAGCUCUAAUUAAACCUCAAGGAUGUUUCCCCACAAUGGGUUUAUCUUUCUAAAAGAGGGAUGGAUGCUGAAUAGGCAAAAAACAGCAGUGAUCCCCUGCUGGGCUCUGAACUCCUGUUUUAAGUCAGAAGGCAGGGAAUAGCAUGUGUGUGGCUGAAGGAUGCUAAGUAGCACCACACCCUUGGGGUAGCAAAAGUGGGCUAGAUCCCUGGGAGGAGGAAGUUUGGGAGGGAGCAGAUGGGGAGGAAUGAGAAAUACACAAGGGUAGCUCGUGGAGGGCCUCAUGAACUAACAGAGGAGUAUCAACUUGAUCCUGAAAAAUGUGCGUUCGGCUUGAGGUUCAUCUGAGUCUCUACUGUCCUUUUCUUAUACCAUUCUUCCCCCAGGUGUCUGGUAUCAACCCACCAAUAAGGCUAGAGAUUUUGGGCUCAAACCCAGCCAGUGCCAAUAUCAAAGGGACCCAUUUGAAGGGCAGAUUCCAAAGGAUUCCAGGGACAGAAUCUGGUAGCAAGUUUGCUGGGCAGUGGUCCCAUGAACUGGAGAUGGGGAGGAGUCGGAGGGCAUCACCUCUGACGUUUGAGGUCAUUGUCCAUCUAAAACAGAUCUCAGUCCAAAGCUGGGUUGAUGAGAUGUUGACCAAGUCUGAGCAGUCAGUCCCAGAUGGAUUGGGAUCAGAGUCAGCCCCAUCUUGAGGGGAAUAUAUUGUUCUUUUUCAGGAAAUUAAGACAGAAACCCAGCUAUGGGGGUCAGACCAGCUCACAACAGAGAGAAACCGAAGAUUACAGUUCUUCUCAGGGAGCAAGUGGGACUCCAACCCUCUCUCCAUGGGGAGAGACCCAUGAAGGUGCCAGGGGUUAGGAAGAGAGAUAUAUUGGUUCAGGUUACUCUUGCAGCUGUAACAAAUAACCUCCAUCAUUUCAGUACCCUCAUAUGAGUGUUUUCACCAUUUGGAUACUCAAGUUCCUUCUGUCGUGUAGGUCCAUCAUUCCCCAGCAUCUGCAUCUAGGCAGAAGAAGGGAAGAGGGAGAAAGCACACCUGCUUCUUAACCUCCUUGCCUAAGAGAGACACAGAUCACUUUUGCUCAUACGCAAUUGGGGAGAACCGGUCACAUGACUUCACGUAGCAGCAAAGGUAGCUGGGAAUUAUAGUUCCUGCUGGGCUGAAGGCCUCAGGGAGAACUCUUAUAUCACAGAAGGGGAGCUUGCAUUUUGAUGAGCAGUGGCCACCCCUGCCCUGGGAGCCUAGCAGACGCCCUAUCAGAAAGAGGUCUCAGUGAGCCCAGCUGAGGGGUGGGAUCAUGUCUUUGCCCUGCUGACAAGCAGUUCUCCUGUAUACAACUUGGCCCCUGAAAUUGUCUGAAUGGAUUUGAGCACUUUCCAACCCAACAGACUGUGGAAUUGGACUAAGGUGAUAAGGACUCAGUGAAACGUGGAGCCUUGCAAAGUACACAGGAAAAAUAAGUGAAUGCAUGAAAUGACAAUUUCCUGACAGUGGGACCUAGGUUCUGGGAACAGCUUCUGAGUACACAGGGUUUGCGAUAAAUCCGGUUUUUCUCCUGUAGCUUCUGUUUGUGCUCAGGUUGUGUUUGAUCAACUCGAUUUCUGUUUGGAAUCAAGGAUCUUCUCCUGCUCGCUUAUUCCUGGCCUUCUCCUGGAGCCGUAGUGCCUCUGUGUAAGGCUGAAUUCAUAGCCCGAGGACAUUGUCUCAGCAGCUCCUUGUAAUGAUCUAAAUAUAGACGCCUCACCUCAGGUGCAGAGCAAGCAGAGGAGAGACUGCUUUGCAGACUCCUUGCUGCGGCAUCCUUGGUCGAGGGCUGGAGGACAAGAUUCCAGUCUGGGUCUCUCCACUUACUCUGCGAUCUUGACAAGUGACAAGGCCUUUAGCCCUGUUCCUUUAUCUGUAAAACUGGAACAGCCGCCAUGACGAAAAUGGAUGAGUCCAAAAGAGUGUGUAAAAAGUGCUGUGUCAGCAUUAGUGAUCAUGGCAGUGUCCAUGGGUGGGUUAAAGCACAGACUCUGGAGCCAGCCCUCGAACCCUGAUUAGCAUCCAGGCUUUGCUGCUUUCUAACUCUGUGACUCAGUAGCUGCCCUGGAUCCAGUCAAUUGUCUGCACCCCAGUGCUCCUAGUAGACUCUGCCCCCGUGGACUGCAGACUUCUCAAGGCUCCGAGUGUUCGUCUUGGAAACCAGGCUCCCAGGCCCUCCCAGCUGCCAUCUCACACUUCUGUGAUUUACACGUGCAGGUGUGAGGGCAGCACCCGUUAGAAAUAUACACCAGGCGGGUUUUACUUUUGCACCAUAAAAAUGGAUACAUCUGCCAUCCAUAAAGGCUUAUUUAUUGCUAAGAGUUCAUUAUAUAUGCAUGAAAAACCAACUAAUUUAACUCUCUGGCAGUAACUACCUGCCUGAGGCUGGAUACAGGAUUGGAAUUCAGGGUUAAAUGGGGGCAGCUGAGAUGAGCUUGAGAGACUUGGACCUACAGCCGGAUGCUAAGGGUUGGGAGGUGUAAGGCACGUUCCAAUCCUGGCCUGGCAAGGGGUAUGACUGUAGUGCAUUGGAUGAUGCCCACCCGCAUUGAAGAGGAUAAUCUCUGCUCAGUCUGUUUGUUCUAACUUGAAUUUCUACUGGAGAUACCCUCACAGACCCACACAGGAAUAAUGUGCUACCAAGUAUCUGGGCAUCCCUCAUCCCAGUCAAAUUGGCACAUGAAAGGAACCAUCACAGUCUGGAAAUAGUUUGUUGAUGGAAAUGUGGGUCUUGCCGUUGUGCCAUGGGAAUCCCUAGCAAGUUUAGUCAUGUACAGCCACAACCACACCUCGAUGCCUACCUUGCCUGGCUGCUGCUGGACACACCCCCAUUUCAGAGAUGUUAGAGUGGGACAAGAAGAUGCAUCUAGACUCAAAUGUGAUAGAUGAACAUGCUGCUCGAUGAGUCUGGCAUAUGCGAAUGCAGAGGAAAUUAACAUGUGCUGCGUGCCCUCUAUGUACAGAUGUAUUAGUUAGCUCAGGCUGCUGUAACAAAUACCAGAGAGUGGGUGGCUUACACAGCAGAAACUCACUUUUUCCACCUAGAGACUAGAAGUCUGAGGUUGGUGUCAGUAGGGCUGGUUUCUUCUGAGGCUUCUCUCUUUGGCUUGUAGAUGAGUAACUUUGGUAACUUCACAGUCUUUCCUCUGUGACACUAGCCGUGUUGGAUUAGGGUCCACCCUAAUGACCACAUUUCAGCUUAAUCACCUUCCCUACCACCAAAGGCAUUCACAUUUGGAGGUCCUGGGGCUUAGGGUUUCAACGUAGGAAUUUGGAGUGAGGGACAAUCAGCCCCUAACACAGGCCCAGCAUGGCUACUUUGUAAACAGGAUCUCCCUUCAGC